Magnolia sinica is the source of this 624-nucleotide long non-coding RNA. RefSeq lists it as uncharacterized. The record is from RefSeq and is a predicted model, not a curated record. The transcript is spliced from 2 exons. Lineage: Eukaryota; Viridiplantae; Streptophyta; Magnoliopsida; Magnoliales; Magnoliaceae.
UUCUUCCUUGCACACAGCAAUCAUCUCACAUGUGGGCUCCACUCCACUGCUGAAUCGCCAGAGGCAGAGCUAACUUGCUCACCUUUUACUGGACUGUGAAUGGCAGUUUUGAUUUUCUGCACCGUACAAGAGAUGAGGUUGUUGACCGUCUCGACCGACUCCACCGUCAGCUUCGCUGUGGGGAGGCUGUUUACCACGAUCUGGAACGCCACCGUUAAGAGAGACCCAUCCAUCUUCGUCGCCGAGUUGCUUCUGUUGCGUGGCCCACCGCCAUCGGGUAAGAUCACGAAGCCCGACGGGAGAAGCGCCACGUGGGUAGAGUCAUCGCCGUUCAUAACCGCCUGCAUGGCUGGGAUGUCGACUGGUGCGUAUACAACAAGCGAACCUGACGAGUCUGUGCACGUCUCCUGCAGUAUCAGCAUGCUGCUCUGACUCGCGCUCAUCGCCUGCGCAUGUUAGCGAGAGGAUAAAAAAUUACAACAAUAAAAGCAAAAGGGCUAGAUUAUCAAAGGGUUUUUAAAUUAUCGAAUUGAGAGCUUCUAUCCGUUGCAUUUCCGCGAUGACAGAGUCUGACCCGCCGUAUAAACGGUCUGGAUUAUUGGUAAAUGACAGACAUUCGCAGGC